AUAUCAGUCAUGCAUAGCAUAUCAAUAAGCGGAGGAAAAGAAACUAACAAGGAUUCCCUUAGUAACGGCGAGUGAAGCGGGAAGAGCUCAAAUUUGAAAUCUUCAAGGUUCUACCUUGACGAAUUGUAGUUUAUAGAAGUGUUUUCUGUUAGUAGAGUGGCAAAAGUUCUUUGGAAUAGGACAUCAUAGAGGGUGAGAAUCCCGUAUUUGGUCAUUCUUUCUAGCUUUGUGAUACACUUUCAACGAGUCGGAUUGUUUGGGAAUGCAGUCCAAAAUGGGUGGUAAAUUUCAUCUAAGGCUAAAUAUUGGCGAGAGACCGAUAGCGAACAAGUACCGUGAGGGAAAGAUGAAAAGAACUUUGAAAAGAGAGUUAAACAGUACGUGAAAUUGUCAAAAGGGAAGCGUUUGACACCAGUGUUGUUUUUCCGAAAAUCAAUUACGAAUGUUUUAGUUUUUGAGGAGUUAUGACUUCAUCGGCUUGCUUCUCUCUUUACGAAACUUUCUUAAUGCACUUUUCGGUUAACAAGUCAACAUCAAUUUCUUUUGUUGUAAAAGGGUAUGAGGAAGGUGGCUUUCUUUUCGGAGAAAGUGUUUAUAGCCUUGUAGCCUCUGCAAUCGGAGAGAUUGAGGUCUGCAGCGUAGAUCCUUCGGGGUUAGAUACGUUUGUGCUAAGUUAUAGCUUUUCAUAGACAACUUGUUGACUAUGUUAAGUCUUGUAGCCUACUCGCUUAUGCUAUUUUACCUACGCUUAGGAUGUUGAUGUGAUACUGCGAGCA
RNAcentral lists this ribosomal RNA (776 nucleotides) under uncultured Neocallimastigales. Its description in RNAcentral is "partial large subunit ribosomal RNA". It matches the Rfam family "Eukaryotic large subunit ribosomal RNA", at positions 22 to 646 of the family's 3401-position model. Lineage: Eukaryota; Fungi; Neocallimastigomycota; Neocallimastigomycetes; Neocallimastigales. The record is from RNAcentral.